Molecule: ribosomal RNA, 460 nt
Filed under: uncultured bacterium
Lineage: Bacteria
Description: partial 16S ribosomal RNA
Rfam family: Bacterial small subunit ribosomal RNA
Source: RNAcentral
CCUACGGGUGGCAGCAGUGAGGAAUAUUGGACAAUGGACGGAAGUCUGAACCAGCCAUGCCGCGUGCAGGAAGACGGCUCUAUGAGUUGUAAACUGUUUUUGUACAAGGGUAAACCUGAAUACGUGUAUUCAGCUGAAAGUACUGUACGAAUAAGGAUCGGCUAACUCCGUGCCAGCAGCCGCGGUAAUACGGAGGAGCCAAGCGUUAUCCGGAUUUAUUGGGUUUAAAGGGUGCGUAGGCGGAUUGAUAAGUUAGAGGUGAAAUGUCCGAGCCUAACUCGGGAACUGCCUCUGAUACUGUUGGGCUAGAGAGUAGAUGUGGUAAGCGGAAUGUAUGGUGUAGCGGUGAAAUGCUUAGAGAGCAUACAGAACACCGGUUGCGAAGGCAGCUUACCAAUCUAUAUCUGACGUUGAGGCACGAAAGCGUGGGGAGCAAACAGGAUUAGAUACCCUUGUAGUC